RNAcentral lists this ribosomal RNA (301 nucleotides) under uncultured bacterium. Its description in RNAcentral is "partial 16S ribosomal RNA". It matches the Rfam family "Bacterial small subunit ribosomal RNA", at positions 509 to 809 of the family's 1533-position model. The record is from RNAcentral.
CAGUCGCCGCGGUAAUACGAAGGGUGCAAGCGUUAAUCGGAAUUACUGGGCGUAAAGCGCGCGUAGGUGGUUCAUUAAGUCGGAUGUGAAAUCCCUGAGCUUAACUUAGGAAUUGCAUUCGAUACUGGGAAGCUAGAGUAUGGGAGAGGAUGGUAGAAUUCCAGGUGUAGCGGUGAAAUGCGUAGAGAUCUGGAGGAAUACCGAUGGCGAAGGCAGCCAUCUGGCCUAAUACUGACGCUGAGGUACGAAAGCAUGGGGAGCAAACAGGAUUAGAUACCCCUGUAGUCCCUGUCUCUUAUAU